AGCUGUCAUGAACACGUCAGAGAAAAGUCAAAAGCAGAGAGACAUCUUGCUUCUUGUUAGUAAGAUAUCCAACUUAUUGGAUACUGGUUUGGACAACAGAUCUCUUUACAUAUGUAUCCGACUGAUUGAAGCUGGUGUACACCCGGAGUGUUUGGCAGAUAUCAUAAAGGAUCUGAGGAAUGAGAGUUCUAGCAUGGGCUCCAAGACUGCAGCCAGCCGCCCCUUGUCUGUCAGAUCUAAGUGAUGGGUUAUAUGGUUACAAUGUUCCUUACUUCAACAACCAUGUGCUCGCCUGGUCAUUGGUUUGGGACUGGUUCGGUAUAUAAUACAGAUUAAUAUUCGAUCAUGAAAGAGCUGAGAAAUCUGCAAUAAGAUCAUAUUGUUCAUCUAACAUCAGCUGUCAGCAAUUAAAUUCCAGAACGUUUCAACUUUAUUUGGUCAUUGACAUUAGAAGCUUUGAUGAAUUUCGAGAGGAAUUGAAUUAUUUGACUUAAUUAAUAUCUCUACUAUAAUUCAGAGAAUUCCCUUUGUAUCUUUGUACGACCGCAAAUAGAAGAGAAAUAGGUAGUUACAUAAUAACCAUGGUAACGAGGGUUAUUACACGCACGUGCACGUGCAAUGAUUGUUUUAACGUCAUUUUGAUCGGUUUUGUUGAUAUUACGCUGUGUUUAGUACGAGCAACAUUUUAAUUGGCUGUAUCUUUGGUGGGGAUGAAUACUUUUUGACACGAUUAAAACUGACUUCCAAAGAAUACUAUUACUAUUAGGUUCCUCCCUUACCUGUGACCACGGGUUUUCUAGUUAUUUAUAAAAUCACUUUUUUAACAAUUUUGUAUCUUAAGUUUGAACUUCUCAUUUUGCAGUUAGAAGAAAUAGGAAACUGAGAAUUUGUUUGCAUCACCAAUACGAUACAUUAUUUCAAGGGUGUAGUUACACACUUGCCAAAUUGAGUUUUGAGUCACGUUUAAUAUAACUUGAGACCUAUAUUUUAGUAUAUCGGUAAGCAGGUGACCAGCUGCACUCAGUGGACCUGCACUCACUCACUCCUGCUGCAGGUCCGAUAUACCAUAAUAUAAUAAAGAUAGAUUAAUUUAUGUUCAUUGCUCGGCCGACGAGAUGAAAUUGUAUUGUGUACAGUUUAUUUACGUGUAAUAAAUACUGAACUGUAAUAAUGACUAUGAUCCUGCAGUAGUAUCUGUAAUGGACCUCUGCUCCAGUAUUAGCUGACAUUUUAAAGAUUG
Molecule: long non-coding RNA, 1240 nt
Organism: Bolinopsis microptera
Lineage: Eukaryota; Metazoa; Ctenophora; Tentaculata; Lobata; Bolinopsidae
Exons: 2
Source: RefSeq, a predicted model, not a curated record